Molecule: ribosomal RNA, 253 nt
Filed under: uncultured bacterium
Lineage: Bacteria
Description: partial 16S ribosomal RNA
Rfam family: Bacterial small subunit ribosomal RNA
Source: RNAcentral
UACGUAGGGGGCUAGCGUUGCUCGGAAUCACUGGGCGUAAAGGGUGCGUAGGCGGGUCUUUAAGUCAGGGGUGAAAUCCUGGAGCUCAACUCCAGAACUGCCUUUGAUACUGAAGAUCUUGAGUUCGGGAGAGGUGAGUGGAACUGCGAGUGUAGAGGUGAAAUUCGUAGAUAUUCGCAAGAACACCAGUGGCGAAGGCGGCUCACUGGCCCGAUACUGACGCUGAGGCACGAAAGCGUGGGGAGCAAACAGG